UGCAGUCGAACGGUGAUGGGGGAGCUUGCUCCUCCUGAUCAGUGGCGAACGGGUGAGUAACACGUGAGCAACCUGCCCCCGACUCUGGGAUAACGUCGAGAAAUCGGCGCUAAUACCGGAUAUGAGGCGCACAGGCAUCUGUGCGUCUGGAAAGAAUUUCGGUCGGGGAUGGGCUCGCGGCCUAUCAGCUUGUUGGUGGGGUGAUGGCCUACCAAGGCGACGACGGGUAGCCGGCCUGAGAGGGCGACCGGCCACACUGGGACUGAGACACGGCCCAGACUCCUACGGGAGGCAGCAGUGGGGAAUAUUGCACAAUGGGCGCAAGCCUGAUGCAGCGACGCCGCGUGGGGGAUGAAGGCCUUCGGGUUGUAAACCCCUUUCAGCAGGGAAGAAGCGAAAGUGACGGUACCUGCAGAAGAAGCGCCGGCUAACUACGUGCCAGCAGCCGCGGUAAUACGUAGGGCGCAAGCGUUGUCCGGAAUUAUUGGGCGUAAAGAGCUCGUAGGCGGUUUGUCGCGUCUGCUGUGAAAACCCGAGGCUCAACCUCGGGCCUGCAGUGGGUACGGGCAGACUAGAGUGCGGUAGGGGAGACUGGAAUUCCUGGUGUAGCGGUGGAAUGCGCAGAUAUCAGGAGGAACACCGAUGGCGAAGGCAGGUCUCUGGGCCGCAACUGACGCUGAGGAGCGAAAGCAUGGGGAGCGAACAGGAUUAGAUACCCUGGUAGUCCAUGCCGUAAACGUUGGGCACUAGGUGUGGGGCUCAUUCCACGAGUUCCGUGCCGCAGCAAACGCAUUAAGUGCCCCGCCUGGGGAGUACGGCCGCAAGGC
This 827-nucleotide ribosomal RNA is filed under the name Actinotalea fermentans. RNAcentral describes it as "bacterial SSU rRNA". It matches the Rfam family "Bacterial small subunit ribosomal RNA", at positions 56 to 894 of the family's 1533-position model. Lineage: Bacteria; Bacillati; Actinomycetota; Actinomycetes; Micrococcales; Cellulomonadaceae. The record is from RNAcentral.